RNAcentral lists this ribosomal RNA (467 nucleotides) under uncultured bacterium. RNAcentral describes it as "partial 16S ribosomal RNA". It matches the Rfam family "Bacterial small subunit ribosomal RNA", at positions 28 to 507 of the family's 1533-position model. The record is from RNAcentral.
GACGAACGCUGGCGGCGUGCUUAACACAUGCAAGUCGAACGGAAAGGCCUCUUUCGGGGGGUACUCGAAUGGCGAACGGGUGAGUAACACGUGAGUAACCUGCCCUUGACUUUGGGAUAACUUCAGGAAACUGGGGCUAAUACCGGAUAGGAGCUCCUGCUGCAUGGUGGGGGUUGGAAAGUUUCGGCGGUUGGGGAUGGACUCGCGGCUUAUCAGCUUGUUGGUGGGGUAGUGGCUUACCAAGGCUUUGACGGGUAGCCGGCCUGAGAGGGUGACCGGCCACAUUGGGACUGAGAUACGGACCAGACUCCUACGGGAGGCAGCAGUGGGGAAUAUUGAACAAUGGGUGGAAGCCUGAUGCAGCAACGCCGUGUGCGGGAUGACGGCGUUCGGGUUGUAAACCGCUUUCGCUCAUGACGAAGCUUUGUGUGACGGUAGUGGGUAAAGAAGCACCGGCUAACUACGUG